UUUUUACAGUGGUAGGCAGUCCUUCAAAAUACCGUUCAGCAGAAUCAAUUCCAAAAAUUUUGGUCAUCAAGUCAAUGCGGAUAGCAUAAUCUGAGUCCAAUGCUUCAUCCUGAUUGUGGUAAACCAGCCAUUCUGAGAUCUCAAGGGCGUGCUUGAAUCUGCGCGACUUUCGAAGCUCUUUGGAGAUGUGACGGAGGUCGGAGAUAGAUAUUACUCGGCCUUCACCGACCCAUCUCUGAAGCACGUUGGUGGCGCUUCUUUUGGGUAGUCUUAGGCUGAAUAUUCUGCUCUUCAAAUCAUCUGGGAUUUCGCCCCUUUCUUCCUCAGAAGAAUUUGGGGAGUCUUCAUAGACAACUUCAGUUGUAGUAAAGGAUCUAAAUAGACUCUUUUCUCUGCCACGGGCAUUUCUCGUGAGUUUGAGGAAGAUACUGCGAGCAGCCAUGGAAACUAGAGAUGAAUUGGGAAGAGAAACCCGA
Molecule: unclassified non-coding RNA, 476 nt
Filed under: Hevea brasiliensis (rubber tree)
Lineage: Eukaryota; Viridiplantae; Streptophyta; Magnoliopsida; Malpighiales; Euphorbiaceae
Source: RNAcentral